AGAGUUUGACUAUGGCUCAGGAUGAACGCUAGCGAUAGGCCUAACACAUGCAAGUCGAGGGGCAGCACAUGAAGUAGCAAUACGGAUGGUGGCGACCGGCGCACGGGUGAGUAACGCGUAUGCAACCUGCCUACAACAGGGGAAUAACCCGUUGAAAGACGGACUAAUACCCCAUAACACAGGGAUCCCGCAUGGGAAUAUUUGUUAAAGAUUUAUCGGUUGUAGAUGGGCAUGCGUUCCAUUAGCUGGUUGGUGAGGUAACGGCUCACCAAGGCAACGAUGGAUAGGGGAACUGAGAGGUUUAUCCCCCACACUGGUACUGAGACACGGACCAGACUCCUACGGGAGGCAGCAGUGAGGAAUAUUGGUCAAUGGACGCAAGUCUGAACCAGCCACGUCGUGUGAAGGAAGACGGCCCUACGGGUUGUAAACUUCUUUUGUAGGGGAAUAAAGUGCAGUACGUGUACUGUUUUGCAUGUACCUUACGAAUAAGGAUCGGCUAACUCCGUGCCAGCAGCCGCGGUAAUACGGAGGAUCCGAGCGUUAUCCGGAUUUAUUGGGUUUAAAGGGUGCGCAGGCGGGAGAUUAAGUCGGCGGUGAAAUUUUGCAGCUCAACUGUAAAAGUGCCUUCGAAACUGGUUUUCUUGAGUGUGGAUGAAGUAGGCGGAAUUUGUGGUGUAGCGGUGAAAUGCAUAGAUAUCACGAGGAACUCCGAUUGCGCAGGCAGCUUACUAAACCAUAACUGACGCUCAGGCACGAAGGCGUGGGGAUCAAACAGGAUUAGAUACCCUGGUAGUC
RNAcentral lists this ribosomal RNA (798 nucleotides) under uncultured Porphyromonadaceae bacterium. Its description in RNAcentral is "bacterial SSU rRNA". It matches the Rfam family "Bacterial small subunit ribosomal RNA", at positions 8 to 795 of the family's 1533-position model. The record is from RNAcentral. Lineage: Bacteria; Pseudomonadati; Bacteroidota; Bacteroidia; Bacteroidales; Porphyromonadaceae.